CGCGGCGGGUCCAGUCCUCUUCCUUGCCGUCGUCGCAGUACCCUAGGCAGUCGUCCUAGAUGAAGUCCCUGAACUCCUCGUGACGCUUGGCGAUGAUAGCGUCGUACUAGUCCUCGUCGACCGUGUCGUAGAUCGGCUUCUCCAUCUUGAUCUGGAACCGGUCGUCGGCGUUUUCGGCCGGUACAGGUUGCCAGUACGUCGCCGCCUCCGCCCCACCAGAGCCUCGAGUUCAUCGUCAAGUCG
Molecule: long non-coding RNA, 243 nt
Filed under: Rosa chinensis
Lineage: Eukaryota; Viridiplantae; Streptophyta; Magnoliopsida; Rosales; Rosaceae
Description: sRNA RchiOBHm_Chr7g0194741
Source: RNAcentral